Molecule: ribosomal RNA, 464 nt
Filed under: uncultured bacterium
Lineage: Bacteria
Description: partial 16S ribosomal RNA
Rfam family: Bacterial small subunit ribosomal RNA
Source: RNAcentral
CUACGGGUGGCUGCAGUGGGGAAUAUUGCACAAUGGGCGCAAGCCUGAUGCAGCCAUGCCGCGUGUAUGAAGAAGGCCUUCGGGUUGUAAAGUACUUUCAGCGGGGAGGAAGGGAGUAAAGUUAAUACCUUUGCUCAUUGACGUUACCCGCAGAAGAAGCACCGGCUAACUCCGUGCCAGCAGCCGCGGUAAUACGGAGGGUGCAAGCGUUAAUCGGAAUUACUGGGCGUAAAGCGCACGCAGGCGGUUUGUUAAGUCAGAUGUGAAAUCCCCGGGCUCAACCUGGGAACGGCAUCUGAUACUGGCAAGCUUGAGUGUCGUAGAGGGGGGUAGAAUUCCAGGUGUAGCGGUGAAAUGCGUAGAGAUCUGGAGGAAUACCGGUGGCGAAGGCGGCCCCCUGGACGAAGACUGACGCUCAGGUGCGAAAGCGUGGGGAGCAAACAGGAUUAGAUACCCGUGUAGUC